RNAcentral lists this ribosomal RNA (393 nucleotides) under uncultured bacterium. RNAcentral's name for it is "partial 16S ribosomal RNA". It matches the Rfam family "Bacterial small subunit ribosomal RNA", at positions 523 to 918 of the family's 1533-position model. The record is from RNAcentral.
AUACGGAAGGUCCGGGCGUUAUCCGGAUUUAUUGGGUUUAAAGGGAGCGCAGGCGGAGAUGCAAGCGUGACGUCAAAUUUCGGGGCUCAACCCCGUCUCGCGUCGCGAACUGCGUCCCUUGGUUGCGGGAAGGGGAGGCGGAACUCGUGGUGUAGCGGGGAAAUGCAUAGAUAUCACGAAGAACUCCGAUCGCGAAGGCAGCCUUCCGGCCCGUCAACGACGCUCAUGCUCGAAGGUGCGGGUAUCAAACAGGAUUAGAUACCCUGGUAGUCCGCACAGUAAACGAUGGACACCCGCGGUUUGGCCUGUAUGGCUGAGCCGCCAAGCGAAAGCGUUAAGUGUCCCACCUGGGGAGUACGCCGGCAACGGUGAAACUCAAAGGAAUUGGCGGGG